UACGAAGGGGGCUAGCGUUGCUCGGAAUCACUGGGCGUAAAGCGCACGUAGGCGGAUUCUUAAGUCAGGGGUGAAAUCCUGGAGCUCAACUCCAGAACUGCCUUUGAUACUGGGAGUCUCGAGUCCGGGAGAGGUGAGUGGAACUGCGAGUGUAGAGGUGAAAUUCGUAGAUAUUCGCAGGAACACCGGUGGCGAAAGCGGCGCGCUGGACCUCUUCUGACGCUGAGGCGCGAAAGCCAGGGGAGCAAACGGG
This 253-nucleotide ribosomal RNA is filed under the name uncultured bacterium. Its description in RNAcentral is "partial 16S ribosomal RNA". It matches the Rfam family "Bacterial small subunit ribosomal RNA", at positions 524 to 776 of the family's 1533-position model. The record is from RNAcentral.